GUGGGGAAUAUUGGGCAAUGGGGGCAACCCUGACCCAGCGACGCCGCGUGAGGGAAGAAGGCCUUAGGGUCGUAAACCUCUGUUGUGUGGGAAGAAGGAAGUGACGGUACCACACGAGGAAGUCCCGGCUAACUACGUGCCAGCAGCCGCGGUAAUACGUAGGGGACGAGCGUUGUCCGGAAUUACUGGGCGUAAAGGGCGCGUAGGCGGUCAUUUAAGUCAGCUGUGAAAUGGUCCGGCUCAACCGGAUCAUGCGGUUGAAACUGGAUGACUGGAGUGCUGGAGAGGCAAGUGGAAUUCCCAGUGUAGCGGUGAAAUGCGUAGAUAUUGGGAGGAACACCAGUGGCGAAGGCGGCUUUCUGGACGGUGUCUGACACUGAGGCGCGAAAGCCAGGGGAGCGAACGGGAUUAGAAACCCUAGUAGUCC
This 427-nucleotide ribosomal RNA is filed under the name uncultured bacterium. RNAcentral describes it as "partial 16S ribosomal RNA". It matches the Rfam family "Bacterial small subunit ribosomal RNA", at positions 354 to 796 of the family's 1533-position model. The record is from RNAcentral.